This 68-nucleotide transfer RNA is filed under the name Gammarus incoercitus. RNAcentral's name for it is "tRNA-Val". Lineage: Eukaryota; Metazoa; Arthropoda; Malacostraca; Amphipoda; Gammaridae. The record is from RNAcentral.
GAUGAUUAGUUUUCACUUACAAUGAAAAAUACCCCAAGGGCAUCUUUAUACUAUAAGUAGUAAUUUAA